GGCACGUGCCACACAUUGAGGGCGUGGCCUCCCAGGCAAAUCACAAUCUUUAGCACAUGAAGUUUGCUAUGAGUGAGUCAGGUUCUCUUGACGUGACUUCUUCUCGUUUACUUCACGCCUAUAGCCAGAAUUUCUGUUUCUUCGUGAAUCCGGUGCAACCAGUUACCCUUUACCGUAGUGCGGAUUUUAUUUGCUAAACUGAAAAGAUAAGGUUGCUAUAAAUUUAGUUGUAGGGUCUAGUCUAAUAGUCCAAUAGGAAUUAAGGGUCUUCACUUCUACUUAUCAAAGACAGCCGCAAUGGAUAAUGAAACAGGACUGGCCAUUUUGAGUGCCGUAUUAAAUGGCAUGUCGUACCCACACCGAAUACUCACAACUGAAGACGAUAACUCGACUGGAAUUGAUGUCAAAGAUCUGCACAAGAUUUUGCUGACAGGAUGCUAUUACCCUCCGAAACUACAAAAUAUAACAGACAUUGCAACAAGUGAUAAAGAAGUAGAUAAAACGACCAAUACAACUGCAGUAGGUAACGAAAAUAAUCUAGUGCCCAGUAACAAGUGAAAUAAGAAAGCAAAGCACUUUGUUUUCAUUUAUCAAAUGCUCAUUAAUCAAUGAACCCAAAGAGUAAAACUUCAAAUUUGAAGAUGCAGAAAAGUUAAUAAAUCUCUUCGAAAUUAAA
Molecule: long non-coding RNA, 676 nt
Organism: Daphnia pulex (common water flea)
Lineage: Eukaryota; Metazoa; Arthropoda; Branchiopoda; Diplostraca; Daphniidae
Exons: 2
Source: RefSeq, a predicted model, not a curated record